UUUAUCCUUUUCGUUUUAAAUUUUUAUCUUUUGGUGAAUAAAGAACAUACACUUAUUUAUAAAGAGGAGAUAUAUAUAUUUUAACAAAGAGUAUUAUUUUUAUUUGAAUAAUAUAUGUUUCUGGUUGCAAGAAUACUAUAACAUAUUUAUGUAUAUGAGAAAAUACAUUUUUGAAAUCAAUAAAUGUAACAUUUUAUUUUCUUCUAAAGUUAAUGUCCAUGUACAGUUAUGUAUUGUAUUUAAAUAUGAUAUUUAUAUUUUUGAAGUUCAUAUUCUUCUAAACCACCGGAUACAACUUAUUGUUUGUAGAAUUUUGCUCCUACUAUAAAAGUAUAGUAGUUUUUUGAUUUCUCAUUUUUAAAUGUGUUGUAAUUGAUAGUUUUUUUAAUGUAAUGUAAUUGAUAGUAGGAUUUCAUUUUUUUUUAUAUUGUUGGAUUAACGCUUCUAACCAGCCGGUUAAUUGUUUCUUAGCAUAUUGAUUUCUCAUGUAUCACAUAAGAAUUUGUCAAGCUCUCUUUUUCGACUGAUUGUUUUAUGUGUUUUAUAAUUCAGCUUUUUGUGGAUACAUGUCGUUGUUUAAUGUUUCACUUGUAUAUUAACGUUACUUUGUUGUUAUAGUAUGUAAUUAUUUUUUGGGAAUGAUUGAUACAACAAUGAUUAAUAUGUGAUUAUAUGAUUUUUGUGUUAAUUGUUGGUGUUAACUUUUGGAGUAUAUUUAUUGUAGUUUUAUUAUUUUGUUCUGUCAUUAAUUGUCGCCUAAAUUCUUUAUUUGAACCAAUUUUAAAUGUUUCUGUUUUUAACUUUUGGUUCAUCUUAGUUUCAAAAAAAAAAAAUUUUGGUUCAUCUUUUCUUUUUUUUGUGUUUUGGCCAUAAUAUUUAUUUUGUAUGUAUGGUUCCACUUUUUAUUUUUUUCAAUUCAUUUGUUAUCUUUUUCUUUUUUUAAUUUACGUAAAACUAUAACCUAUUAAAUAAUUUUCUACGAUUCUUUGUAAAGACAACGUGGUCCAGUGGCAAAAGACAGUUUUAUGACGGAGGAUGUCAUGGGUUCAAAACGCAGGUCCUUCUUUUUUGUUUUAGAAUUUUUUUUUUCAUUAAUGGCAAAUUUGUAAUUAAAUCGUCUUCUUCCUUUUAGGGUUUUCACUUCUACUGCGAAAUUUUCAUGGCCGCCUCGAACUUUUUUAACAUAAAACAUCAUUUUCUUGCAGUUUUCUUAUCAAUUUUUGCAUAAAAACUGUAGAUUUGCGACGUAACAUCAAAUUCCAAGCGUUUAAAAUUCAAAAGCCUGGACUUUUUUGAUGAAUCCGAUUUUUUGUCCGAUUUUGAUGAAAUCGCGGCGGUUCUGUACUGCCGAGCGUUGCAAGGCCGUGUACUCGGCCGAGUUGCCGCGUUUUCGAACAUGGCCUGCGGUUGUUGAACUAUACUAUUCGUCGGUUGUGUGAAUUUUAAACUGGAAAAUUGUAUUUAGAACUGAAGGAGAGAUGAUGAAAUCGACUCAAACAGACAAAUCAAUCUAUUAUUAGUGACUUUAUAAGUUGAAUCAAUAUAUAAUUAUGAGUGAUAGAGGAAGGUUUGAGAGAUAAGAAGACAGUCC
Molecule: long non-coding RNA, 1591 nt
Filed under: Brassica rapa (field mustard)
Lineage: Eukaryota; Viridiplantae; Streptophyta; Magnoliopsida; Brassicales; Brassicaceae
Description: long non-coding RNA (BRAP_LNC002714)
Source: RNAcentral